AAUGCCUGGGUCUCAGUCUGUGUAUUUAGCGAAAAUAAACAAAAAAUCAUAAAAAAAUAAGUAUGGCCUUGAUUAUUACCAUUCAAGUUUUAUAUGAUUUAUCAAAGGAGAUUCUAAAAGAUGACCUACUUUUCGUUGUCAUGGCAACGAUCACGUGAUGUAUAUUUCAAAAAACAACACAAAAAAUAAUACUUUUUAUUCAGAGGCUCUGCAGCAGUAUAUUUCGUGACUGGGAGGACGCAGAAUUGCGAUAAUCAUUCACACAUAAUAUCACUGUUUAUUGAAUAAAUUCGGAAAGUUUACAUUUAGGCUUCGUUUCAUUAUUUUAUGCGGCUAUAUUACGAUGAUCGGC
This is a non-coding RNA of Paramuricea clavata, 352 nucleotides long. The record is from the annotation of a GenBank genome assembly. Lineage: Eukaryota; Metazoa; Cnidaria; Anthozoa; Malacalcyonacea; Plexauridae.